UACGUAGGGGGCAAGCGUUGUCCGGAUUCAUUGGGCGUAAAGAGCGUGUAGGCGGCCAGGUAGGUCGGUUGUGAAAACUGGAGGCUCAACCUUCAGACGUCGACCGAAACCAUCUGGCUAGAGUCCGGGAGAGGAGUGUGGAAUUCCUGGUGGAGCGGUGAAAUGCGCAGAGAUCAGGAGGAACACCCGUAGCGAAGGCGGCACUCUGGGCCGAUACUGACACUGAGGAGCGAAAGCGUGGGGAGCGAACAGG
Molecule: ribosomal RNA, 253 nt
Filed under: uncultured bacterium
Lineage: Bacteria
Description: partial 16S ribosomal RNA
Rfam family: Bacterial small subunit ribosomal RNA
Source: RNAcentral